This is a long non-coding RNA of Etheostoma spectabile (orangethroat darter), 119 nucleotides long. RefSeq lists it as uncharacterized. The transcript is spliced from 3 exons. NCBI's taxonomy places the organism in Eukaryota, Metazoa, Chordata, Actinopteri, Perciformes, Percidae. The record is from RefSeq and is a predicted model, not a curated record.
AUUUCAAUUCCAACUUAUUUUAAAGGACCCAUGGUAUGGAAAUGUACGUUUGAGGUUUUUUAACAUUAAUAUGAGUUCCCCAAGCCUGCCUAUGGUCCCCCAGUGGCUAGAAAUGGUGA